This 468-nucleotide small RNA is filed under the name Hymenoscyphus sp. FC-2725. RNAcentral's name for it is "eukaryotic LSU rRNA". The stretch from base 173 to 326 matches the Rfam family "5.8S ribosomal RNA". Lineage: Eukaryota; Fungi; Ascomycota; Leotiomycetes; Helotiales; Helotiaceae. The record is from RNAcentral.
CGGAAGGAUCAUUACAGUGUUCCUGCCCUCACGGGUAGAAACCCCACCCUUGUGUAUUAUAUAUUGUUGCUUUGGCGAGCCGCCAUCAGGCCUGGGCUUCGGCUCGGUUGUGCUCGUCAGAGGACCCUAAACUCUGAAGUAUUAUGUCGUCUGAGUACUAUUUAAUAGUUAAAACUUUCAACAACGGAUCUCUUGGUUCUGGCAUCGAUGAAGAACGCAGCGAAAUGCGAUAAGUAAUGUGAAUUGCAGAAUUCAGUGAAUCAUCGAAUCUUUGAACGCACAUUGCGCCCCUUGGUAUUCCGAGGGGCAUGCCUGUUCGAGCGUCAUAUUGACCAACUCCCGCUUCUGCGGGGUCUUGGGCUUCGCCUCUGGGCGGGCCUCAAAAUCAGUGGCGGUGCCUAUUUGGCCCUACGCGUAGUAAUACUCCUCGCGAUAGGGACCGGUAGUUGCUGGCCAGUAACCCCCAAC